CGCUCCAUAGCGUAGUGGUUAGCACAUCUGCUUUACACUCAGAAGGUCCUAGGUUUGCACUCCAGGUGGAGCCA
This is a non-coding RNA of Pteropus alecto (black flying fox), 74 nucleotides long. Lineage: Eukaryota; Metazoa; Chordata; Mammalia; Chiroptera; Pteropodidae. The record is from Rfam.